CUCAAUAAAACUUUUCCUGGGCUGGAUAGCAAAGGACACCUUUGGUUACCUGAAUGAACAGUUUUGGCCAGAAAUGGUGAGAAGAAAAAGCAUGAAGAAGCCGCGAAGUGUGGGGGAGAAAAAGGUGGAAGCGAAGAAACAGCUCCCGGAGCAAACUGUACAAAAACCUCGCCAAGAGUGUCGGGAGGCAGGACCGUUAUUCCUGCAGAGCAGGAGAGAGACGAGAGACCCUGAAACACGCGCCACCUAUCUUUGUGGGGAGGGAUAAUUGAAGCGCCCUGAGCGUACCAGAGCCAGAAAAAAAAAUGCUGCAUGGGAGCUGCAUCUUAGGGCAUGUGUAUUAGGGUGUGUGCAUGAUGAAUUUCUGGACUGGAUCCCAAUAUUAAAAAGUAGUUUGGCAUUUUAAUAAAGGGUCUCUAAGUAAAUUAA
RNAcentral lists this long non-coding RNA (429 nucleotides) under Homo sapiens (human). RNAcentral's name for it is "non-protein coding ZEB2-AS1:15". The stretch from base 1 to 61 matches the Rfam family "ZEB2 antisense RNA 1 conserved region 2". The record is from RNAcentral. Lineage: Eukaryota; Metazoa; Chordata; Mammalia; Primates; Hominidae.